Molecule: long non-coding RNA, 604 nt
Filed under: Nicotiana tabacum (common tobacco)
Lineage: Eukaryota; Viridiplantae; Streptophyta; Magnoliopsida; Solanales; Solanaceae
Description: long non-coding RNA (NTAB_LNC011102)
Source: RNAcentral
CUUGAUAUUUUACCACAAAACAGUUCAAUCACAACUUGGGGACGUUCGAAUCGUCUACGCCGUAAAUAAACCAAAUCUGUCCACUUCCUCAAACACUUCCCCUUUGAUUUUUUUUCAAGGAUUUAUAUACCUUAAAUACAUAAUCAAAUAUCCAAAUAAGUUCAAUGAUUUAACAAGUCAAACUAAACAUGAUAUUGGUAAAAAUUACCCAAAACGUUUGAAACAGAAAUUCUGGACAGUAUUACUAUUCCGAGUUGUGACUAAGUUUUGAAGAUUUAUAAGGACAAACUAGACUUUAUAGUCUUCACAAAAGUUGUAGAUCUAUGUCUUACUGUUUCGGAACAUCUUGAAUCACUACCAUAUCAAUUUUGAACAAAAGGUUAUGUUAAAAUUACUAACAGCAGUACAUGGAAUAUUUCUUAAACUGGAAAUCUGGACAGCACCUGCCCUGUACUUUCUGACUCUUUUUUCAGGUAUAUAACGACAAAAAUAGAUUUUGAUUCCUUCAUAAGAGUUGUAGAUUUAUGAAAUACCUUUCCAGAAAGUCCUAGAUCACUUAAAUCGGAGCUAUGUACAAAAAGAUAUAUAGAAAAUACUAGUAGUU